This 780-nucleotide ribosomal RNA is filed under the name uncultured bacterium. RNAcentral describes it as "bacterial SSU rRNA". It matches the Rfam family "Bacterial small subunit ribosomal RNA", at positions 62 to 854 of the family's 1533-position model. The record is from RNAcentral.
UUGAGCGGAGAUAUAUGGAGCUUGCUUUAUAUAACUUAGCAGCGAACGGGUGAGUAACACGUAGAUAAUCUAUCCUAUACUGGGGGAUAGCCCGAUGAAAGUUGGAUUAAUACCGCAUAUAGCUAUAUAGUUGCAUGAUUAUGUAGUGAAAGAUUUAUUGGUAUAGGAGGAGUCUGCGGCACAUUAGCUAGUAGGUGAGGUAAAGGCUUACCUAGGCGACGAUGUGUAGCCGGUCUGAGAGGAUGAACGGCCACAAUGGAACUGAGACACGGUCCAUACUCCUACGGGAGGCAGCAGUGGGGAAUAUUGCACAAUGGGGGAAACCCUGAUGCAGCAACGCCGCGUGAGUGAAGAAGGUUUUCGGAUUGUAAAGCUCUGUUAGCAGGGAAGAGGAAGGACGGUACCUGCAGAGGAAGCCACGGCUAACUACGUGCCAGCAGCCGCGGUAAUACGUAGGUGGCAAGCGUUGUUCGGAAUAACUGGGCGUAAAGGAUGCGUAGGCGGUUAAACAAGUUAUAUGUUAAAUAUAUAGGCUUAACCUGUAGAAAGCAUAUAAAACUGUUUAACUAGAGUGCAGGAGAGGUAAGUGGAAUUCCUAGUGUAGCGGUGAAAUGCGUAGAGAUUAGGAAGAACACCAGUGGCGAAGGCGACUUACUGGACUGUAACUGACGCUGAGGCAUGAGAGCAUGGGGAGCAAACAGGAUUAGAUACCCUGGUAGUCCAUGCUGUAAACGAUGGGUACUAGGUGUGGGUUGUGAAUAACAAUUCGUGCCGUCGCAA